This 513-nucleotide ribosomal RNA is filed under the name uncultured bacterium. RNAcentral's name for it is "bacterial SSU rRNA". It matches the Rfam family "Bacterial small subunit ribosomal RNA", at positions 8 to 518 of the family's 1533-position model. The record is from RNAcentral.
AGAGUUGAUCAUGGCUCAGGAUGAACGCUGGCGGCGUGCCUAACACAUGCAAGUCGAACGGGGUUAAGGGAAAUUUCGGAUGGAACUUAACUAGUGGCGGACGGGUGAGUAACGCGUGGAUAACCUGCCUCACACUGGGGGAUAGCAGCUGGAAACGGCUGGUAAUACCGCAUAAGACCACAGCACCGCAUGGUGCAGGGGUAAAAGAUUUAUCGGUGUGAGAUGGAUCCGCGUCUGAUUAGCCAGUUGGCGGGGUAACGGCCCACCAAAGCGACGAUCAGUAGCCGGCCUGAGAGGGUGAACGGCCACAUUGGGACUGAGACACGGCCCAAACUCCUACGGGAGGCAGCAGUGGGGAAUAUUGCACAAUGGGCGCAAGCCUGAUGCAGCAACGCCCGCGUGAGUGAGGAAGUAUUUCGGUAUGUAAAGCUCUAUCGGCAGGGAAGAAAGGCCCGAAAGGGAGAUGACGGUACCUGACUAAGAAGCCCCGGCUAACUACGUGCCAGCAGCCGC